CCUACGGGAGACAGCAGUGGGGGAUAUUGCACAAUGGGGGAACCCCUGAUGCAGCGACGCCGCGUGAGUGAAGAAGUAUUUCUGUAUGUAAAGCUCUAUCAGCAGGGAAGAAAAUGACAGUACCUGACCAAGAAGCCCCGGCUAACUACGUGCCAGCAGCCGCGGACAUACGUAGGGGGCAAGCGUUAGCCGGAUGUACUGGGUGUCAAGGGAGCGUAGACGGUUAUGGAAGUCUGGAGUGAAAGCCCGGGGCCCCACCCCGGGACUGCCUUGGAAACUGUGUAACUGGAGUACAGGAGGGGCAGGCGGACUUCCUGUUGUAGCGGUGAAAUGCGUAGAUAUCACGAGGAACUCCUGCGGCGAAGGCGGCCUGCUGGACUGAAACUGACGUUGAGGCUCGAAAGCGUGGGGAGCAAACAGGAUUAGAUACCCUUGUAGUC
This 440-nucleotide ribosomal RNA is filed under the name uncultured bacterium. RNAcentral's name for it is "partial 16S ribosomal RNA". It matches the Rfam family "Bacterial small subunit ribosomal RNA", at positions 338 to 795 of the family's 1533-position model. The record is from RNAcentral.